GUGUCAGCAGCCGCGGUAAGACGGACCACCCAAACGUUAUUCGGAAUCACUGGGCUUAAAGCGUGCGUAGGCGGCCCUGUAAGUUAGGUGUGAAAUCCCACAGCUCAACUGUGGAACUGCGCUUAAAACUACAGGGCUAGAGGGAUAUAGAGGUGAGCAGAACAGAUGGUGGAGCGGUGAAAUGCGUUGAUAUCAUCUGGAAUACCGGAGGCGAAGGCGGCUCACUGGGUAUCUUCUGACGCUGAGGUACGAAAGCUAGGGUAGCGAACGGGAUUAGAAACCCGCGUAGUCC
This 292-nucleotide ribosomal RNA is filed under the name uncultured bacterium. Its description in RNAcentral is "partial 16S ribosomal RNA". It matches the Rfam family "Bacterial small subunit ribosomal RNA", at positions 505 to 796 of the family's 1533-position model. The record is from RNAcentral.